This 1183-nucleotide long non-coding RNA is filed under the name Anser cygnoides (Swan goose). RNAcentral describes it as "lncRNA (ENSACDG00005016710.1)". The record is from RNAcentral. Lineage: Eukaryota; Metazoa; Chordata; Aves; Anseriformes; Anatidae.
CACUCACACUGUUUGUCUCUCCAUUUCAUUUCUCACCCUUUCUCACUCCUUUCUUUUUCCUCACAAUUUCCAUUUUUAUUUCUGGUCUUUCUUCAUUUUCUCUUUCACAAUCACCCUUCCCGACAACGUCCAUGUCUCCUCCCUCCCCUCUACCACGUGAAACGACCCCUUUCUACUUCUUUCAUCCUCCCAGGAACCGUUUCUUGCUUUGUUUUCCCACAGGGUGUGUGGGGAUCUGGCGUGCAGCUGGGAGAUCCCGGCAGGGCUGGCUCCAGACAGGAACGAGGCGUCUGCGGGAAGGAGCGAGGCAUUCUGCUCAGGUCCUGAGUGCUGAACACCCAAAGACUUUCCCCGCUUGCUUGGCUCUGCAGGAGGCACUGAGAAAUUUGGGAACAAUGGCUCGGGAGGCCAAGGAGAGGCUGCUGAGCCAUAAAGGUGGACAGAGGGAUGCUCGAUACUUGUUUGGGGUGGUUGGGGUGAUGGAAGGGCUGAGAGGGAGGGAGAGGUGGGUGCAAGACUGGGUGGGCUGAGUCAUGGACAGAAGGAUGGUGAUCGGAUAGAUAGAGCAGCUGCCCGGUGCAAAAAUCAGCUAGUUUGGAGAGGAACGUACAGGGACUGGAAUGGAAUCGUUUCAGGAAAAAAUGGAGAGAGGGAGGGACAGACGGAUGGACAGAUGGAGAGAGGGAUGGUUUAAUGGGCUGGUUACUGGAUGGAUGGAUGGAUGGAUGGAUGGAUGGAUGGGUUGGUGGUGGAUGGACUGACAGAUUGUUAGGUGGGUGGAUGGAUGGCCAGCUCACCUUUCUUUUGGGCAUUUAUACUGAUAGACACGGCUUGGCUUGUGAAGGACGGGAUCCACCUCUCAGGCUUUUUUUCCUCAUACUUGCAGGUAAAGUUUCCACUCUGUUGGGGACCAGCACGUGGGAGCUGGAGGACCAUGGAAGUCCUUAAAUUGCCCCCGUGAUCUGCUGCAUUGUCCUCAGAGCCUUCUGUCGUAGGGAGGACCUCUUGGCCAUCCCUGUAGAAGUGAAACCUCCGUACAGUGGCGUCUCCAGGGGCCUUACAGAUGAUGCUCAGGAGAUCUCCUGCCAUCACCUCUCCCAGCGGGGACUCCACCAUCAGCAGGGGCUGGGGAAGGUGGUCUGAGAAAAGGGGAGGAAUAAAUGGAGACGUAGCAAUAAGGACA